GAUGAAGAACGCAGCGAAAUGCGAUAAGUAGUGUGAAUUGCAGAAUUUAGUGAAUCAUCGAAUCUUUGAACGCACAUUGCGCCCUUUGGUAUUCCUUAGGGCAUGCCUGUUCGAGCGUCAUCUACACCCUCAAGCACAGCUUGGUGAUGGGCGCCUGUCCCGCCCCCCACGGGGGCGCGGACUCGCCUCAAAUGCAUUGGCGGCCGGCGACCUGGCUUCGAGCGCAGCAGAAACGCGUACUCGGGGACCGGGCGCCCGCUCCCAGAAGCCAACCCACCCAGUUUGACCUCGGAUCAGGUAGGGAUACCCGCUGAACUUAAGCAUAUCAAUAAGCGGA
RNAcentral lists this unclassified non-coding RNA (337 nucleotides) under soil metagenome. Its description in RNAcentral is "partial contains 5.8S ribosomal RNA, internal transcribed spacer 2, and large subunit ribosomal RNA". The stretch from base 1 to 120 matches the Rfam family "5.8S ribosomal RNA", at positions 35 to 154 of the family's 154-position model. The record is from RNAcentral.